GAUGAACGCUGGCGGCGUGCUUAACACAUGCAAGUCGAACGGUGAAGCAGGAGCUUGCUCUUGUGGAUCAGUGGCGAACGGGUGAGUAACACGUGAGCAACCUGCCCCUGACUCUGGGAUAAGCGCUGGAAACGGCGUCUAAUACUGGAUAUGUGAUGUGACCGCAUGGUCUGCAUCUGGAAAGAAUUUCGGUUGGGGAUGGGCUCGCGGCCUAUCAGCUUGUUGGUGAGGUAAUGGCUCACCAAGGCGUCGACGGGUAGCCGGCCUGAGAGGGGGACCGGCCACACGGGGAGAGGGACACGGCCCAGACUCCUACGGGAGGCAGCAGUGGGGAAUAUUGCACAAUGGGCGGAAGCCUGAUGCAGAAACGCCGCGUGAGGGAUGACGGCCUUCGGGUUGUAAACCUCUUUUAGCAGGGAAGAAGCGAAAGUGACGGUACCUGCAGAAAAAGCACCGGCUAACUACGUGCCAGCAGCCGCCGUAA
RNAcentral lists this ribosomal RNA (484 nucleotides) under uncultured bacterium. RNAcentral describes it as "partial 16S ribosomal RNA". It matches the Rfam family "Bacterial small subunit ribosomal RNA", at positions 28 to 523 of the family's 1533-position model. The record is from RNAcentral.